AGUGAACGCUGGCGGUAGGCCUAACACAUGCAAGUCGAACGGCAGCACAGUAAGAGCUUGCUCUUACGGGUGGCGAGUGGCGGACGGGUGAGGAAUACAUCGGAAUCUACUUUUUCGUGGGGGAUCACGUAGGGAAACUUACGCUAAUACCGCAUACGACCUACGGGUGAAAGCAGGGGAUCUUCGGACCUUGCGCGAUUGAAUGAGCCGAUGUCGGAUUAGCUAGUUGGCGGGGUAAAGGCCCACCAAGGCGACGAUCCGUAGCUGGUCUGAGAGGAUGAUCAGCCACACUGGAACUGGGACACGGUCCAGACUCCUACGGGAGGCAGCAGUGGGGAAUAUUGGACAAUGGGCGCAAGCCUGAUCCAGCCAUACCGCGUGGGUGAAGAAGGCCUUCGGGUUGUAAAGCCCUUUUGUUGGGAAAGAAAAGCAGCAGGUUAAUACCCCGCUGUUCUGACGGUACCCAAAGAAUAAGCACCGGCUAACUUCGUG
Molecule: ribosomal RNA, 492 nt
Filed under: uncultured bacterium
Lineage: Bacteria
Description: partial 16S ribosomal RNA
Rfam family: Bacterial small subunit ribosomal RNA
Source: RNAcentral